Molecule: small nuclear RNA, 62 nt
Organism: Callithrix jacchus (white-tufted-ear marmoset)
Lineage: Eukaryota; Metazoa; Chordata; Mammalia; Primates; Cebidae
Gene: U7
Rfam family: U7 small nuclear RNA
About the family: Animal histone pre-mRNAs are spliced by a different mechanism than nuclear pre-mRNAs and self-splicing introns. This processing involves the U7 snRNP, which contains only one RNA species: U7.
Source: Ensembl
AAGUGUUACAGCUCUUUUAGAAUUUGUCUAGCAGGCUUUCCAACUUUUGCCAGAAAGCCCUU